Biomphalaria glabrata is the source of this 5168-nucleotide long non-coding RNA. RefSeq lists it as uncharacterized. The record is from RefSeq and is a predicted model, not a curated record. The transcript is spliced from 2 exons. Lineage: Eukaryota; Metazoa; Mollusca; Gastropoda; Planorbidae.
AAAUGUAAGGGACAUGCCUAAAUCCAACACAUAAAAUGUAAGGGACAUGUCUAAAUCCAACACACAAAAUGUAAGGAACAUGCCUAAAUCCAACACACAAAAUGUAAGGAACAUGUCUAAAUCCAACACACAAAAUGUAAGGGACAUGCCUAAAUCCAACACAUAAAAUGUAAGGGACAUGUCUAAAUCCAACACACAAAAUGUAAGGAACAUGCCUAAAUCCGACACACAAAAUGUAAGGAACAUGUCUAAAUCCAACACACAAAAUGUAAGGGACAUGCCUAAAUCCAACACACAAACUGUAAGGGACAUGUCUAAAUCCAACACAAAAAAUGUAAGGAACAUGCCUAAAUCCAACACACAAAAUGUAAGGAACAUGUCUAAAUCCAACACACAAAAUGUAAGGGACAUGCCUAAAUCCAACACAUAAAAUGUAAGGGACAUUGUGACAGGUGGGGGGAAUGUGACGUGUGUUUGGCUCGUUUAAUGUCUAGGGGAUGAUUAUUUUUAAUGCUAUCACACCCCCACUUAUCAGCAUAUGAAUCGGGAGCAGACACGCAACGAGACAAAGCAAUGAAAGAUAGAUACAAAAGUUAAAAUAAAGGAAAUUUAUUUACAUAAAUAUACAUAUAACAAUAAAAGGGGGAUGGUUUGCAUCUAUCUCUAAUAUAUUCUAUGUUUAAUCAUCACUCUUGCACAUAAUAAGAGAGUAUGUCACUUUGUCCUCUAACUUAGCUGGUUGUCCUGUUGAUGUCGCAGCUGGCUGUGUCCUGGCUUGAGGUUCUGCAGCUGGAGGUGGCGCUCUAGCGGAUAGAGGGACGCCGGCGAUAUAGUUCUUGUGGAGUCUCAGUCCCAAGUUCCAGUAUCUGUAGUGGGCACAGUAUGGCGGGUGGCCGGAUACCGUGGGCACAAGGUUACUGCGGGCAGAGCUGAUCUGCCGUGGGCAGUGUAGGUAACAGGAUAUGUCCAGUGAGUUGCAGAGGGUUGGCGUAGCUAUGACGUCUCGCACAGAUCUCUAUAGGGACGUCGCGCCUAAUAGCUUGACAUGUGGGCUGUCGAAUAGGCGGGCAAUGCCGAUAGCGCCAAGUAGUAGAGUUGAGUAGAUCUCCGUAGGCGGUAGAUGAUGCUCAAUAGGAAAGUGCAGUGCUGAAUAGCACUAAGCACAUAGAUAGGCCAGUAGGCAAAUAGGCGAUAGGUGAUUCUUGAUAGCAAAUACAGUGCUGAAUAGCACUAGCAUCUAAAUAGGCCAGUAGGCAAAUAGGCAGGUAAGUGAUCCGAUAAAUAGGCAGCAGAUGAUUCUCGAUAGCAAAUAAAUAGGCAAUAGUUGAGUGGCGUCGAGUAGACACUGAACAGCAAAUAGCAAAUAAAUAGGCAGACACCUGAGGGAGGCUGCGGAUAAAUAAAGACAAGUUAGGACAUGUCUCUUAUGCAUCUUAUCGAUGCCCUCGACUGAGGUGCAUUCGUCAGAUUGGUAAAAUUGCUUUAGAGCAUAAAGGGGAGAUGAUGACAAAUGGGAUUUGGAGAAUAGAUGGCAGAUAGUGGCAAUAUAGAAAAUGUACAUAAAAGGGGAAAUAAUAAUAUAAGAAUGUACAUAGAAGGGGAAAUAAUAGUCUCAAAUAAACAACACAGGUGGAUAGAGAAAGAAAAGGGGGGGGGGGGUGAGUUGGGCGGUGGUCAGCGAUCGAGACGCUUUGUUUGCACAUGACCGUGGGUCGAGAACAAUGGAGCGUGCUUGAAUGUCCCUUCAAGCGGCGCAACUCUCCUUAGAGUAAAAUGACUACAGGGGAGACAAAUCCUUACACACAAAAAGGGGGGGGGGAUAAUUCAUAUCUCUUCACUAGACGCAGUAUCAGUGCGCUAGUAAAAUUAUCAAGGCGACCAGCCGAGAUAAAGGAAAUAAAAUAAGAUGUACAAAUAAAUACAAGGUUGCAUCAAUGAUCAAUUGAGCAACGUAGCAUUAAUAGAUUAAUGCAAUACUAAAAUAUAUACAUAGCACAUGUUUAUGUUUUCUACUUACGCCAGUGAGAAAUACACAAUGCACUAAUUAAAUAUAAAUGAACUAAGCAAAAUACACAUGAUAAAAUCCAAUGGAAAUAUACACAGAGUAAUUAAGAUGGAACUUGUGAUUAAGUUCGGCUUACCACCAGGUAUUCCUCUAGGAGGGAGAAUAAAUGAUAUAGUCCAGACUCGAUCGACAGCGAUAGAGGAGUGAAAGGGUCUGGCUUGAUUUGAAUCUACUUAUAUAUGCCUGGGAAAUGUGGGCGGACACAGGAAACGUCCUAGGCUAAGAAUUUAGCUUACACGUGGGUGAAGUCCGACAAGCGACGCACCUUGGUGUAUCACGCGGUAUGUUGACCAGGGUAAUCUCUUAGAUCAAAGAGAGACGUGAGAGAAAGGGGGGGGGGGGAGGAUUAGCUUGCAUUCAAACCAAGGUGGGGUCAACCGCGACCGUCCUUCAGACAUCCGGCGGGCAAGACAAAAGAGAUUGUGUGUCUACCUUUCCCCGAUCAAGGGCAGAUAAAUGAAAGGACGCGCCUUCGCUAUCUCCAAUGUGGUCAACUAAGUCUAGCCUGGAGAGAGGAAAGGUGGGGCGGGUGAAGAAAUUGGAGGUAGGAUGGGGAAAUAAUUAAAAUAAAUAAAUAAAUAAUGAAAAAUAAUAAUUAAUGCUGUGAUAAUUUAGAGUGACUCUGACAGCGAGUUUUUGACUUGUCACAGACAUGUCUAAAUCCAACACACAAAAUGUAAGGAACAUGCCUAAAUCCAACACACAAAAUGUAAGGAACAUGUCUAAAUCCAACACACAAAAUGUAAGGGACAUGCCUAAAUCCAACACAUAAAAUGUAAGGGACAUGUCUAAAUCCAACACACAAAAUGUAAGGAACAUGCCUAAAUCCGACACACAAAAUGUAAGGAACAUGUCUAAAUCCAACACACAAAAUGUAAGGGACAUGUCUAAAUCCAACACACAAAAUGUAAGGAACAUGCCUAAAUCCGACACACAAAAUGUAAGGAACAUGCCUAAAUCCAACACAUAAAAUGUAAGGGACAUGUCUAAAUCCAACACACAAAAUGUAAGGAACAUGCCUAAAUCCAACACACAAAAUGUAAGGGACAUGCCUAAAUCCAACACACAAAAUGUAAGGGACAUGUCUAAAUCCAACACACAAAAUGUAAGGAACAUGCCUAAAUCCGACACACAAAAUGUAAGGAACAUGUCUAAAUCCAACACAUAAAAUGUAAGGAACAUGCCUAAAUCCAACACAUAAAAUGUAAGGGACAUGUCUAAAUCCAACACACAAAAUGUAAGGGACAUGUCUAAAUCCAACACACAAAAUGUAAGGGACAUGUCUAAAUCCAACACAUAAAAUGUAAGGGACAUGUCUAAAUCCAACACACAAAAUGUAAGGGACAUGCCUAAAUCCAACACAUAAAAUGUAAGGGACAUGUCUAAAUCCAACACACAAAAUGUAAGGAACAUGCCUAAAUCCGACACACAAAAUGUAAGGAACAUGUCUAAAUCCAACACACAAAAUGUAAGGGACAUGCCUAAAUCCAACACACAAACUGUAAGGGACAUGUCUAAAUCCAACACACAAAAUGUAAGGAACAUGCCUAAAUCCAACACACAAAAUGUAAGGGACAUGCCUAAAUCCAACACACAAAAUGUAAGGGACAUGUCUAAAUCCAACACACAAAAUGUAAGGAACAUGCCUAAAUCCGACACACAAAAUGUAAGGAACAUGUCUAAAUCCAACACAUAAAAUGUAAGGAACAUGCCUAAAUCCAACACACAAAAUGUAAGGGACAUGUCUAAAUCCAACACACAAAAUGUAAGGAACAUGUCUAAAUCCAACACACAAAAUGUAAGGGACAUGUCUAAAUCCAACACAUAAAAUGUAAGGAACAUGUCUAAAUCCAACACACAAAAUGUAAGGAACAUGUCUAAAUCCAACACACAAAAUGUAAGGAACAUGUCUAAAUCCAACACACAAAAUGUAAGGAACAUGUCUAAAUCCAACACACAAAAUGUAAGGAACAUGUCUAAAUCCAACACACAAAAUGUAAGGAACAUGUCUAAAUCCAACACACAAAAUGUAAGGAACAUGUCUAAAUCCAACACACAAAAAGUAAGAAGGUGAGAAUCCCACUCGUUUGUUGACAGAAGACAUUAUGAGAUGCCGAGCAGGGUUACCAACGAAGUACCUUAUAGGAAAAUGCUGUAGCUACAUUAGGAAAAUGCUGUAGCUACAUUAGGAAAAUGCUGUAGCUACAUUAGGAAAAUGCUGUAGCUACAUUAGUUUUCGUGUAGGAUGAACUGUCCAGUAUUUUUCUUUUCGACUAAGACACACCCCCUUCACAAAUGCUCCCCUUUUUCUCCACAGGCGAAAAUUAAAAAAAAAAAACUUUAAAAAAAAAAAAAUCCCCAGUUAUGUACAUACACACGUUGUUACACAAUAAAAAUAAAAAAAUAAAAUUUAGUUUGCAAUAUAUAAAAAAGAGAGAAAAUAAAAAGUUUGUCUAAAUGUUUUGAGUUUGUUUUUAACUUACCAGAUAUGAGUUCUAUAAGAUAUUGUAGAUACGACAACACAUGCCAAUACCUCAUCGUAUAGACUAUAACAGGCUAUAUUCAGAACAGUAGAUAAAUAACUUCAGGGGACGUGAUGGAUGAGUGAUAAAGCACAAGGCUUCUUGGGCUCGAAUAUCGCUGAAGAAUGGGAUUUUGUCAUUUUGGCAUUUUUUAGGACGUCUAUGUCAUGGGUACCUGGAAAAGGAAAGGCGGCUUGCGAACGAGACGGAGAGUUGUUACAAAGGACACGGACUACACAUUUGAGACCAAUAGAAAAUCGACUGCCGAGGACGACGUAGACGGCGAAAGGACAACCUGGAUAGUUAUGUCUCUGCAAUAGGUCGCUUUGUAUAAUCUUGACAGCGAAGCCAUUUGAAAUACUAAUCUCAUCAUUAAUCUAUUUUUUUAAUGAGUUAAAAAGGAGUUAAAUAGUUAAACCAAAUUACAUGUACUUCUAUCAAUGUCUGUAUAAUUAUCCGUUAGAAAUAGCCUACUCAAAAGAUUGAUGGUAAUCCUUUUCCGAAUGUGUUUUUUUGAUUUUUUUUUUCCUUUUUCUUUUAAUUCACUUUCCAAAAGAUUACAUUGCAAAAAAAAAACAAAA